Arachis duranensis is the source of this 739-nucleotide long non-coding RNA. RefSeq lists it as uncharacterized. Lineage: Eukaryota; Viridiplantae; Streptophyta; Magnoliopsida; Fabales; Fabaceae. The record is from RefSeq and is a predicted model, not a curated record. The transcript has 2 exons.
CACUUCCUCCUCCUCGUUCCUCCAGCCUCCACUUCCUCCUCGUUCCUCCAGCCUCCCAAAGAACAGAACACCACCCAGUCACCGCACUCACCGCACUCACCACCCAGUUGUCAACUCCAGACUCCAUGAGGCCCUCAACGCAGUCACCGCCGUCGCACUCACGCCCUCAGCCACUUCGCAUGUCACCUCCGUCGAGCUCUGCCUCUGAGAAAGCAGUAGAGAAGCGUUGAAGCGUUGAAGCAUUGUCCUUCAAGCUCUGAGAGAAAGCAACAGAUUUCCUCAUUUUCAGGUUUUUUGAUAGGGAAGUCAUGGAUGAAGAUCUUUUCUGGGCCAUUAAAGGUGGUGGUGGAGCAAGCUUUGGAGUGAUCUUAACAUGGAAGAUCAAGCUCAUUCCAAUUCCAUCAACUGUGACACCGUUCAGAAUUCUCAAAAAGGUUAAACAGAAUGCAACGAAGCUUGUUCAUAAAAGGCAGAGUGUGGCAAGUAGACUUGACAAUAAUCUAGUCCUUGGUCUGUUGGUGUAGACGGUGAAUUUAAGCAUUAACAAAGGAAAGUUGACUGUGCAAAUUUUGUUUAACUGUUUAUUUCUUGGAAGUAUUAAUAUGCAAUUUUCUUAAAGUUUCAGUGCUCCUACUACCCAUCAUGUAUAUCACGAACAAACAGUGACGGACCUAGAAAAAUUUUAUCGUGGGGGCAAAAGUAUAAUAAAAUUUAAGUAUAGAUAUAUUUGUUUUGGUUA